AUAACUGGCUUACGUCUGUUUUUUUGUGCUGCUAUAGGCUUAGUUGUUUGUUGUUUUAUGAUGAUUUCUUCUUGUUUGGGUUUGUGUAAUCUUUUUGAUCUGCAGAAUUAAUAGUACAAAAGUCUAUAGCUUUGGUUAUAGACUAAGAUUACUACUUUUCCAGAAAUAGUGAAUAAAGAAUCAACUGGGUGGGAUGAUCACUUUUCACUCGUGUUGCCCAGGCUGGAGUGUAGUGGUACUAUCUUGGCACACUGUGGCCUAUGUCUCGGGUUCAAGCGAUUUUGCUGUCUCAGCCUCCCAAGUAGGGAUUACAGGUGUUCCUGGCUCUAUGCCAAAUGCAUCCUGGACUGGAAACCUCAGAGCUAUAAAGUGGAGUGACAUGGAAGACAGACACGGAGGCUGCCACGGCCACUAUGUACAUGGUAUUUGUAUCUAUGGAAACGGAGACUUAAAGUGGUUGGUUAAUUCACCAAGCCUGUUUGCUAACAAGUUUGAGCUUAAUACCUACCCCCUUACUGUGGAAUGCCUAGAACUGAGGCAUCGCGAAAGAACCCUCAAUCAGAGUGAAACUGCGAUACAACCCAGCUGGUAUUUUUGAGCUAUUCAUGAGCUACUCAUGACUGAAGGGAAACUGCAGCUGGGAAGAGGAGCCUGUUUUUGUGAGAGACUUUUGCCUUCGUAAUGUUAACGGUUUCAGGACCACGUUUAUAGCUUCAGGACCUGGCUACAUAAUUAUACUUAAAAUAUCCACUGGACACUGUGAAAUACACUAACAGGAUGGCUGGAUAGAGCAAUCUGGACACUUUGGCCAAUUUUAGUCUUGCUGUUUCUUGAUGCUCACCUCUAUAUUAGUUUAUUGUUAGGAUCAAUGAUAAAUUUAAAUGACCUCAGAUCUUUGCACCAGAUACUCAUCAUAUACAAAUGUUUUAGUAAAAAAGAGAAUUGUAGAUAAUACUGUCUAGG
Molecule: small RNA, 963 nt
Filed under: Pan troglodytes (chimpanzee)
Lineage: Eukaryota; Metazoa; Chordata; Mammalia; Primates; Hominidae
Description: processed transcript
Source: RNAcentral